Molecule: unclassified non-coding RNA, 525 nt
Filed under: uncultured Bartonella sp.
Lineage: Bacteria; Pseudomonadati; Pseudomonadota; Alphaproteobacteria; Hyphomicrobiales; Bartonellaceae
Description: partial 16S-23S ribosomal RNA intergenic spacer
Rfam family: tRNA (bases 116-189)
Source: RNAcentral
CAAAAGCUUUAAGGAAAGCUCUUUGUUUUUUGAAAUGAUGCUUUUAUGAGAUAGAGCUUUUUUAGAUAAUGCUUUUUUAGAUAAUGCUGGGGAAGGUUUUCCGGUUUAUCUCGGAGGGCUUGUAGCUCAGUUGGUUAGAGCGCGCGCUUGAUAAGCGUGAGGUCGGAGGUUCAAGUCCUCCCAGGCCCACCAAUUUACCUAUCCAUUUUCCUUUAUCCGUUUAUUUGCCGAUUUAUCGGUCUAUUGAAUUUAAGUGUUGGUAGCAGUUUUUAUAAUGAUGAGAAAUCAUGCUUAUAAAAAAACUCCUUAUAAAAGGCUUGUUUUUAAAAUGUGACGCUUAUCCAUUUCGCUUAGGCAAGAGAAACUUCAAGCGGUUCAAAUGCAAAAGGCUUUAAAUUUUGCAAAACACUUUGAAUUUUAAAGUGAUCCAAGUUCGUGAUCUCGAAUUUAAAAGUUUCGAAUGCUUUAUCCUUUUUUGGGGGCCGUAGCUCAGCUGGGAGAGCACCUGCUUUGCAAGCAGGGGGU